Molecule: ribosomal RNA, 304 nt
Filed under: uncultured bacterium
Lineage: Bacteria
Description: partial 16S ribosomal RNA
Rfam family: Bacterial small subunit ribosomal RNA
Source: RNAcentral
CAGCAGCCGCCGCGGUAAUACAGAGGGUGCGAGCGUUAAUCGGAUUUACUGGGCGUAAAGCGUGCGUAGGCGGCUUCUUAAGUCGGAUGUGAAAUCCCUGAGCUUAACUUAGGAAUUGCAUUCGAUACUGGGAAGCUAGAGUAUGGGAGAGGAUGGUAGAAUUCCAGGUGUAGCGGUGAAAUGCGUAGAGAUCUGGAGGAAUACCGAUGGCGAAGGCAGCCAUCUGGCCUAAUACUGACGCUGAGGUACGAAAGCAUGGGGAGCAAACAGGAUUAGAUACCCGUGUAGUCCCUGUCUCUUAUAC